CGAAGUCGAGGUCGGGGUUCUGUGUCAAACCCGAGAGGUAGAUCUGCAGCUGGAGCUAGUGCACAAAAUCAACUGGACAGAAUCGUUAAUGCCUUGCCCAUUUCUCAACUACAUCAAAAUCAGCUCACUGAAGAAGAAGAAGAGAAGCAGAGAGAGAUCAAUCACAAGAUGACAGUAAUGCUGCCAAUAAUAACACAGAUGAAUCUAUGAUGGAACAGACCAUCAGUUCUGAUGUUCAGGAGGAACCACCAGGCCAGCCAAUUUCAUCUUUCGUGAUAUCAAACUGGGUUCCUGCGUGGAGACGCAAAUUUUCUAUGAUUGGCGACAGGAUUCGUCAACUGGCAAAAUAUAUGCGAAAUGCGAACUUUGCAAAAGCUGUCAUACCAAUCGCCACCUUACAGGAAAUCUGUCUUCGUUUACCAACUUCACUAAACAUCUAAAAGGUGUCCAUUUAGAAGAAUGGAAAGCUUACGAAGACCAGCAGUCGAAAAAGAAAGGCGACCUAGACAGCAAUCCAUCAAGGAGUAUGGCACGGGUAAAUCAAUUCAUAAGUCCAGGCAGCAGCAACUCGACAUACAGUUAACGUAUUCCAUGGCCGAGGACAACAUUCCCCUCAACAUUCUGAAAAGACCUCGAUUCAAGGAAUGGAUUCAGAACGGCAUGGUAGGAUACCAGCUUCCUUCUAUGGAAAAGAUGCGAAAUUCUAUGUUGCCUAAGAUUGCUGCCGCUACUAAAGAAAAGGCCCUUCAGUUGCUGAAGACAUGUACUUCAUUCAAUAUUAUUCUUGACAUUUGGUCAUCUAAACAAAUGAUGGGAUACAUCAUAAUAAACUUUUGUUAAUUGGUUUAUUA
Daphnia magna is the source of this 851-nucleotide long non-coding RNA. RefSeq lists it as uncharacterized. The transcript has 3 exons. NCBI's taxonomy places the organism in Eukaryota, Metazoa, Arthropoda, Branchiopoda, Diplostraca, Daphniidae. The record is from RefSeq and is a predicted model, not a curated record.